CACUAUGUAAAAUAAUAGGGCUACAAGUUUAGUGUUUACAAUAUAUGUGGCUCACUGAAUUUUCUCUCUAGGAGAAUUUCUCUCUGCUCUCUCUUUCCUCUUUCUUCCUUCUCUUCCUUUCUCUUUUUUUCUUCUCUUCUUCUUUCCGUUUCUCUUCUUAUUUAUAGGCUGAAAUAAUCACUAUUCAUCACUAUUCAUCACUGUUCACCCGUGACAGACAAACUCUAUCAAAGCCACCAAAUGAACAGUAAUGAACAGUAAUGAAUAGUUAGUGGGCUCCACAUGUUUAUUCUUUUAUUCUUUUACAACACUCCCCCUUGGAGACCACUAAUGAUAUGUCGGUUGUAUC
This 349-nucleotide long non-coding RNA is filed under the name Prunus persica (peach). Its description in RNAcentral is "long non-coding RNA (PPER_LNC002421)". Lineage: Eukaryota; Viridiplantae; Streptophyta; Magnoliopsida; Rosales; Rosaceae. The record is from RNAcentral.